Molecule: unclassified non-coding RNA, 155 nt
Filed under: uncultured fungus
Lineage: Eukaryota; Fungi
Description: sequence contains ITS1, 5.8S rRNA gene
Source: RNAcentral
CCGAGUUGCACUCCCUAGGGAGACAUCUCCACCCAGUGAGAACACACUUGUUGCUUUGGCGGGCCGCGGCCUCCGCCGCCGGCUUCGGCUGGCGAGCGCCCGCCAGAGGCUUUUAAUUCUUAUCUUGCAUGAGUCUGAGCAAUUUAAAAUGCGAA